Non-coding RNA from Podarcis lilfordi (Lilford's wall lizard), 132 nucleotides. NCBI's taxonomy places the organism in Eukaryota, Metazoa, Chordata, Lepidosauria, Squamata, Lacertidae. The record is from the annotation of a GenBank genome assembly.
GGCAUCCCCAAACUCGGCCCUCCAGAGGUUUUGGGACUACAAUUCCCAUCAUCCCUGACCACUGGUCCUGUUAGCUAGGGAUGAUGGGAGUUGUAGUCCCAAAACAUCUGGAGGGCUGAGUUUGGGGAUGCC